UCGUGAAAUCUCACGGCUUAACUGUGAGCGUGCGGGCGAUACGGGCAGACUUGAGUACUGCAGGGGAGACUGGAAUUCCUGGUGUAGCGGUGGAAUGCGCAGAUAUCAGGAGGAACACCGGUGGCGAAGGCGGGUCUCUGGGCAGUAACUGACGCUGAGGAGCGAAAGCGUGGGGAGCGAACAGGAUUAGAUACCCUGGUAGUCCACGCCGUAAACGGUGGGUACUAGGUGUGGGUUUCCUUCCUUGGGAUCCGUGCCGUAGCUAACGCAUUAAGUACCCCGCCUGGGGAGUACGGCCGCAAGGCUAAAACUCAAAGAAAUUGACGGGGGCCCGCACAAGCGGCGGAGCAUGUGGAUUAAUUCGAUGCAACGCGAAGAACCUUACCUGGGUUUGACAUGCACAGGACGCCGGCAGAGAUGUCGGUUCCCUUGUGGCCUGUGUGCAGGUGGUGCAUGGCUGUCGUCAGCUCGUGUCGUGAGAUGUUGGGUUAAGUCCCGCAACGAGCGCAACCCUUGUCUCAUGUUGCCAGCGGGUAAUGCCGGGGACUCGUGAGAGACUGCCGGGGUCAACUCGGAGGAAGGUGGGGAUGACGUCAAGUCAUCAUGCCCCUUAUGUCCAGGGCUUCACACAUGCUACAAUGGCCGGUACAAAGGGCUGCGAUGCCGCGAGGUUAAGCGAAUCCUUUUAAAGCCGGUCACAGUU
RNAcentral lists this ribosomal RNA (703 nucleotides) under uncultured bacterium. RNAcentral's name for it is "bacterial SSU rRNA". It matches the Rfam family "Bacterial small subunit ribosomal RNA", at positions 592 to 1293 of the family's 1533-position model. The record is from RNAcentral.